UCAAUCAGUCUGUAUAUUGUACUCAUUCUCCGAAAUAGAAGGUGCGAGAUUUCAGCAGUCAAUCAAUAUAUGAUUUGUCUUCUCACACUAAACACAUUUCACACAUUUCCACUCUCUUUCCAAUUCAAUCAAACUUCCUACGAAAAUCCUCCAAAAACACCUUCUCAAUUCGAAACCCCAAGCCCAAUCCCAUCGCUUUCCACAUUUCCGGCAACCCAAAAAUUCGCAUUUUUGUGAAUAGAGCGUGAAUCUCUUCCAACUACCAAUUCAUUUAAUGGCUUAUAGGCGAGCAAUUUCGAACAACCCAACGCCUGACGACGUUGAAACAAUGAAAAUGUUAACAAGCGACGGAAAGGAAAGAAUUCUGCUGAUGAGGGCUUGAGGGUCACCCGUAUGCCGAUGGGAUUACAGAUUGUAUCGGCAAAGAUAGAAUGCAACUUCUUGACGCUGAUGUCGAGAAUGAAUAGUGUCUACAAACAAAAAUAGCAUGUAGUAUACUAUAUUGCAUUCCUAAUAGUAUAUAUUGCAUACCUGAACCAAAUAUUGCAUGAAUUACAUAUACAUGCAGUGUAUAAUAUAGUACUAUUCUGUACGGAAAAGGUUGCAUUUUUUCAA
Salvia splendens (bonfire salvia) is the source of this 615-nucleotide long non-coding RNA. RefSeq lists it as uncharacterized. The transcript is spliced from 2 exons. The record is from RefSeq and is a predicted model, not a curated record. NCBI's taxonomy places the organism in Eukaryota, Viridiplantae, Streptophyta, Magnoliopsida, Lamiales, Lamiaceae.